RNAcentral lists this small RNA (412 nucleotides) under Pan troglodytes (chimpanzee). RNAcentral describes it as "processed transcript". The record is from RNAcentral. Lineage: Eukaryota; Metazoa; Chordata; Mammalia; Primates; Hominidae.
AGGGCGAUCAGGGCUCACCGCAGGCUCAACCUCUCAGGCUGAAGUGAUCCUCCCACCCCAGCCUCCUGGAUAGGAUUGCAGGCAAAGUGUUUCAUGGAUUUCAAAGCUGGAGGCACCUUAUGUCACAUUCUUGGGGCUGCUUACAAGUAUAAAAAUGAACAGGGAUGGCGGAGGUUUGACCUACAGAACCCAUCUCGAAUGGAUCGUAAUGUGGAAAUGUUUAUGAACAUUGAAAAAACAUUGGUGCAGAACAAUUGUUUGACCAGACCCAACAUCUACCUCAUUCCAGACAUUGAUCUGAAGUUGGCUAACAAAUUGAAAGAUAUCAUCAAACGACAUCAGGGAACAUUUACGGAUGAGAAGUCAAAAGCUUCCCACCACAUUUACCCAUAUUCUUCCUCACAAGACGAUG